UGGGGAAUAUUGGACAAUGGGCGAAAGCCUGAUACAGCCAUGCCGCGGGUGUGAAGAAGGUCUUCGGAUUGUAAAGCACUUUAAGUUGGGAGGAAGGGCAUUAACCUAAUACGUUAGUGUUUUGACGUUACCGACAGAAUAAGCACCGGCUAACUCUGUGCCAGCAGCCGCGGUAAUACAGAGGGUGCAAGCGUUAAUCGGAAUUACUGGGCGUAAAGCGCGCGUAGGUGGUUUGUUAAGUUGGAUGUGAAAGCCCCGGGCUCAACCUGGGAACUGCAUCCAAAACUGGCAAGCUAGAGUACGGUAGAGGGUGGUGGAAUUUCCUGUGUAGCGGUGAAAUGCGUAGAUAUAGGAAGGAACACCAGUGGCGAAGGCGACCACCUGGACUGAUACUGACACUGAGGUGCGAAAGCGUGGGGAGCAAACA
Molecule: ribosomal RNA, 427 nt
Filed under: uncultured bacterium
Lineage: Bacteria
Description: partial 16S ribosomal RNA
Rfam family: Bacterial small subunit ribosomal RNA
Source: RNAcentral